Molecule: long non-coding RNA, 1704 nt
Organism: Esox lucius (northern pike)
Lineage: Eukaryota; Metazoa; Chordata; Actinopteri; Esociformes; Esocidae
Source: Ensembl
GGCUGCAGGGAGUAGAUGAUCGUUUUAUUGGGUCUGUCCUCCUCUCUUCCUCUCCCUGUACAUUGGCUCUGUAAACUCCUCUUGUGUACAUCUUCCAUAAACCUUCUGAAACAAUCACUCCAUCAACCGGCUCUCUUCUUCACUGUGUCUUUCUCUACUCGGAUGUCUAAUUCAGUGGUCAUUGCUUAAAUUCAUUUUCACUCAUUCUCCACCCACACAUCACGCCACACACACGUGUCACACGCCAUGCACACACGUCACAACACACGGCAACACAUGGUGGUGAACUGGAGCUUCGAGAGUCAUUCGGCAUUAAGCUACAUGUGAAUGUACAGUGGCCGUCAUAGCAUAACGCAGUGUGUCUGUUGUCAUGAUGUUUUUCGCAAGAGAUUGGGUGAGUAUCACAUCUGUGUGUGCCUGUGUUUGGAAGCAUCAGUUAGUCUGUGUAGGGGCAUUGUGGGUGUGUGUGUGUGUGUGUGUGUUUGAGCGCGCGCACGUUUUAGCACACACCCAAGGAUUCUCAGCGACCGUGGAUGGAAUUAAUUCCCUAUGAGAGAGUGGAGUGUCUUCUACUGUCACUAUGGAAACCCUCAAGGCCCCAUCAUUCUCAAUUCCAUACGGUUUCAUUAUCACAACGCCAUUAUCACAUAUCACAAUACUGUCAAGUUAUCACUAUAACAUUGAGUUAUCACAUCAUAUUUAUCACUGUACCAUCAAGUUAUCAAUAUCGUCACACUGCCAUUAUUCUCUGAUCCUAGACAUUGUUUUCCCCACAAAUCCAACAGAGGCCAGAUCAUAUCAGUCCAGUGCCACAGUAGUACAACCAUACAGGGCAGGAGUCGCGUUAGGAAGUAUGAAGAGAAAAUAAAAUGCAUAACUACAUGGCAAUUUAAGAUUUAAAGAAGUAAAGUAUUUAAAUAACUGAUUUGCAUGUGCAACGUGCAUGCCAUUACGUGGGGUUAAAUAAGUCAACUUCAGGAAUUAAAAAAAGAAAUGAAUAUAAAGAGAAAAAAAAAUAAAGUAUAUAUGUAUAAAUAUAUAUAGAUAGAUGUUUUUAAGAGCAAUGUGUUCCUUUUUUCUUCUAUUUUUGAAAAACAAAAAAACUGGGGGUAAAAAAGCUUUGGACAAAAAAAACAGACAAAAAAUUAUUUCAAAGAAGAACCUUGGUGAUGCAAAGAAUGUUUUUUGUUUGAUACUAUUUGCCAGUUAUUUCACUAAAGGGGGAACUGCAAUGGUGGGGAGAUAGAUGAUUUAACAGUUUAAACAUAAUGUUGAAGCAUUACAUUACAAAAAAUGAAGAAAAGAUCAACAUGGAACGAAGGAAUACAUUUUUCCCUAUUUAAAGAAAAACUAAAAUCCCUUGAUUGAGAGUCUUGAGAGCUGCCUGUUGAUUCUGGUGAUUAUGUGUCCCGUUAUUCCAGCUAUGAAAUCCCUCUCUUUCUCUCUCUUUAUCUAUCUCUCUGCUAUUUCUACCAGUGCAUUUUGUAACUCCAAACAGAACUCUUCCUAAGGAACCUGAAUAAAACCUGAGAGAAUGCAUUCUACCUCUGCUCAGUCUCUACUUAUUACAUAGCCAACACACACACACACACACACACACUGAAAGUCUAAGUUACCAACCCUUUGUCUUCAUUUAUCAGAAUGUGUGUUACACACGCACACAUUCUGUCCUCUGUUUACUUGGGGACAUAUAACACACACAGA